UCCAUAUAAAAUGGAUUAAUUCAAAAUAUACGAAGUGUCAUCGCUAAUAAUAGUACUCCGCACCAUUUAAUUAUAGUGUAAUCAAAAGCAAACAACAACGUGGAGAAAUUAGGAAGGAGCGAAAGCAGCGGGAAGGUUGAAAUUCAAAGAAAGCAGAGUGGGUAUGGGCGGCAGGCCCCGAAGGACCCAUGAGGCCCCUAAUGCAUUUAGAAUGGAUAUUGACAGAUGCAACACUAAAAGCCGCAGCUGGUGCAUUUCAUCAUUGCAAGGUGUGCACUUUGAUUUUGUGAUGGGGCUAUAACUCCUUUUCCUUUUACAAUAUUUACGAAACCUCCUCCAGCUUCAUAUUUGUUAGGAUUAGACGUGGGGGCACCGUCGCCUCAUUGGAUCACGUCGGUCCUGUUGUAAUUUUAGAUAACCGACAGUAUCCCACUUUCCCGUUCUAUUUUCGAUAUUCCAUUUCUCCCAUAAAAACUGUCAUUUUGACGGUGGCUCACGUUCUCAUUUACUUUUCCUUUUUUGGAUGAAUUUCAAGUUGGGUAAAGUACGCUACGGUGGCAACAUAAAAUACCAUAAAAAUAUGAUAUAAUUUUAUUACAAGUAUAUAAAUAGUGAGUUAUAAAUACAAGGUAGCCAGGCUCAUUUCUGGCUUUCCAUAAUGUAGACAACAGCUCCAUCGCCCCAUUUGUACAUUUACAUGAAUUCAAUUCAUUUGUAAUGAUCCUUGGUUGAAUUUCAUAAAUAAAUAGUACUAAUGCAUUAA
This 763-nucleotide long non-coding RNA is filed under the name Gossypium barbadense (sea-island cotton). RNAcentral's name for it is "long non-coding RNA (GBAR_LNC011340)". Lineage: Eukaryota; Viridiplantae; Streptophyta; Magnoliopsida; Malvales; Malvaceae. The record is from RNAcentral.